RNAcentral lists this transfer RNA (70 nucleotides) under Camelus bactrianus (Bactrian camel). It matches the Rfam family "tRNA". From Rfam's summary of the family: Transfer RNA (tRNA) molecules are approximately 80 nucleotides in length. Their secondary structure includes four short double-helical elements and three loops (D, anti-codon, and T loops). Lineage: Eukaryota; Metazoa; Chordata; Mammalia; Artiodactyla; Camelidae. The record is from Rfam by way of RNAcentral. RNAcentral also lists the same sequence under 2 other names.
GGGUGUAGCUCAGGGGCAGAGCAUGUGCUUGGUGUGCACAGGCUCCUGGGUUCAGUCCCCAGUAUCUCCA